AAGUCGUAACAAGGUUUCCGUAGGUGAACCUGCGGAAGGAUCAUUACAGUAUUCUUUUGCCAGCGCUUAAUUGCGCGGCGAAAAACCUUACACACAGUGAUUUCUUUCUUUGAAAACAUUACUUUGGUCUGGCGCAAGUUGGGCCAAAGGUCUAUUAAACUUCAAUUUUAUAUUGAAUUGUUAUUUAAACAUGUCAAUUUGUUGAUUAAUAUCAAAAAUCUUCAAAACUUUCAACAACGGAUCUCUUGGUUCUC
Molecule: unclassified non-coding RNA, 254 nt
Filed under: fungal sp.
Lineage: Eukaryota; Fungi
Description: partial internal transcribed spacer region
Rfam family: Eukaryotic small subunit ribosomal RNA (bases 1-46)
Source: RNAcentral